AUCGCUUCUCAGCCUUUUGGCUGAGAUCAAGUGUAGUAUCAUAUAUUCAUGUACCUAUUUAUGAUUAAACUAUAACUACCU
Molecule: small nuclear RNA, 81 nt
Organism: Oryctolagus cuniculus (rabbit)
Lineage: Eukaryota; Metazoa; Chordata; Mammalia; Lagomorpha; Leporidae
Gene: U2
Rfam family: U2 spliceosomal RNA
About the family: U2 is a small nuclear RNA (snRNA) component of the spliceosome (involved in pre-mRNA splicing). Complementary binding between U2 snRNA (in an area lying towards the 5' end but 3' to hairpin I) and the branchpoint sequence (BPS) of the intron results the bulging out of an unpaired adenosine, on the BPS, which initiates a nucleophilic attack at the intronic 5' splice site, thus starting the first of two transesterification reactions that mediate splicing.
Source: Ensembl